GAUGAACGCUGGCGGCGUGCCUAAUACAUGCAAGUCGAGCGAACAAACGAGGAUCUUGCUUCUCUUACGUUAGCGGUGGAUGGGUGAUUAAUACGUGGAUAACCGACCUUGAAGACUAAGAUACGUUCGGGAAACCUGAUCUAAUAUCCGAUAAGAGGGAGAACCGCAUGGUUCAACAGACAAAAAGCUUCUUGCUGUCACUUAUAGAGAUUACCGCGCCGGAUUAGCUAGUUGGUAAGGUAACGGCUUACCAAGGCAACGAUGCGUAGCCGACCUGAGAGGGUGAUCAGCCACACUGGAACUGAGACACGGUCCAGACUCCUACGGGAGGCAGCAGUAGGGAAUCUUGCGCAAUGGGCGAAAGCCUGACGGAGCAACGCCGCGUGAGUGAAGAAGGUCUUCGGAUCGUAAAACUCUGUUAUUAGGGAAGAACAAAAGUGUAAGUAACUAUGCACGUCUUGACGGUACCUACUCAGAAAGCAACGGCUAACUACGUG
This 497-nucleotide ribosomal RNA is filed under the name uncultured bacterium. RNAcentral describes it as "partial 16S ribosomal RNA". It matches the Rfam family "Bacterial small subunit ribosomal RNA", at positions 28 to 507 of the family's 1533-position model. The record is from RNAcentral.